UGGGGAAUUUUGGACAAUGGGCGAAAGCCUGAUCCAGCAAUGCCGCGUGUGUGAAGAAGGCCUUCGGGUUGUAAAGCACUUUUGUCCGGAAAGAAAUCCUUGGCUCUAAUACAGUCGGGGGAUGACGGUACCGGAAGAAUAAGCACCGGCUAACUACGUGCCAGCAGCCGCGGUAAUACGUAGGGUGCAAGCGUUAAUCGGAAUUACUGGGCGUAAAGCGUGCGCAGGCGGUUUGCUAAGACCGAUGUGAAAUCCCCGGGCUCAACCUGGGAACUGCAUUGGUGACUGGCAGGCUAGAGUAUGGCAGAGGGGGGUAGAAUUCCACGUGUAGCAGUGAAAUGCGUAGAGAUGUGGAGGAAUACCGAUGGCGAAGGCAGCCCCCUGGGCCAAUACUGACGCUCAUGCACGAAAGCGUGGGGGAGCAAACAGGAUUAGAUACCCUGGUAGUCCACGCCCUAAACGAUGUCAACUAGUUGUUGGGGAUUCAUUUCCUUAGUAACGUAGCUAACGCGUGAAGUUGACCGCCUGGGGAGUGC
RNAcentral lists this ribosomal RNA (536 nucleotides) under uncultured bacterium. Its description in RNAcentral is "partial 16S ribosomal RNA". It matches the Rfam family "Bacterial small subunit ribosomal RNA", at positions 355 to 883 of the family's 1533-position model. The record is from RNAcentral.